ACCAGUUGUCGUGCCAACGGCAUCGCUGGGUAGCUAUGUAUGGACGGGAUAAGUGCUGAAAGCAUCUAAGCAUGCAGCCCCCCUCAAGAUGAGAUUUCCCAACUUCGGUUAUAAGAUCCCUCAAAGAUGAUGAGGUUUAUAGGUUCGAGGUGGAAGCAUGGUGACAUGUGGAGCUGACGAAUACUAAUCGAUCGAAGACUUAAUCAA
RNAcentral lists this ribosomal RNA (207 nucleotides) under Staphylococcus aureus. RNAcentral describes it as "partial 23S ribosomal RNA". It matches the Rfam family "Bacterial large subunit ribosomal RNA", at positions 2716 to 2925 of the family's 2925-position model. Lineage: Bacteria; Bacillati; Bacillota; Bacilli; Caryophanales; Staphylococcaceae. The record is from RNAcentral.